This 253-nucleotide ribosomal RNA is filed under the name uncultured bacterium. Its description in RNAcentral is "partial 16S ribosomal RNA". It matches the Rfam family "Bacterial small subunit ribosomal RNA", at positions 524 to 776 of the family's 1533-position model. The record is from RNAcentral.
UACGUAGGGUGCGAGCGUUAUUCGGAAUUACUGGGCGUAAAGCGUGCGCAGGCGGUUUUGUAAGCCUGCUGUGAAAUCCCCGGGCUCAACCUGGGAAUGGCAUUUGGGACUGCAAGGCUCGAGUGCGGCAGAGGAGACUGGAAUUCCUGGUGUAGCAGUGAAAUGCGUAGAUAUCAGGAGGAACACCGAUGGCGAAGGCAGGUCUCUGGGCUGACACUGACGCUCAUGCACGAAAGCGUGGGGAGCAAACAGG